GGGUAGGUAGCAGAGCGGUCAAAUGCAUCAGACUGUAAAUCUGACGCCCUACGGGCUACGGGGGUUCGAAUCCCUCCCUACCCA
This 84-nucleotide transfer RNA is filed under the name Candidatus Moraniibacteriota bacterium. RNAcentral's name for it is "tRNA-Tyr". It matches the Rfam family "tRNA". Rfam says of the family: Transfer RNA (tRNA) molecules are approximately 80 nucleotides in length. Their secondary structure includes four short double-helical elements and three loops (D, anti-codon, and T loops). Lineage: Bacteria; Candidatus Moraniibacteriota. The record is from RNAcentral.